Molecule: non-coding RNA, 1169 nt
Organism: Physcomitrium patens
Lineage: Eukaryota; Viridiplantae; Streptophyta; Bryopsida; Funariales; Funariaceae
Source: RefSeq, a predicted model, not a curated record
UUGGCAAAGCCAUAGACCAGCUAUGGCGUCUCGCAAAUCUCAGUUUCACUGCAUCCUGAAUUGUUUCGAUGCUCUGGAACCGGCGGGAGCCUCCACAUCUGACCACCGCAGGGGCAACAAAUAGAUCGGAGGGAAAUGAGAAUUUCGAAUGGUUUAGCGUUUGCUACGGUUGGUUCAGUAUCACAUUGUUCGAGCGGGUGAAGGAAGGUUGAGUGUUGUAAGAUCCACACCGGAACUUGAGCGGUUCUUCGUCACUUGGUCGAUUGGAAGGAUGGAAACGCUCCUCUCCACGACCAGACCUUCGCAAGAGAGCUCACAGAAGCAUUUGGAAAAUACUCGAGUCGCAGGUGGUAAUUUAUUGAAUCAUCAUUUGUUGCGAACGGCGUCUUCUUCUGGAGACAAUAUGACUGCUGCCGACGUUUAUCAACAUGGUUAUUGCAUGGCACCUGUGCGGAUCAAUCCACGUCUCGGGAAAUCGGAAAUUCAUGAAUAAGACGUUUCAUGGGAGACGUGUUUGUUAACUUCAUCUGGAGACCCGAAUGCGGAACCUCUCUCUGCUCCAUUAACACCGGGAGUGCUCCCCGAGAUCACCAAAGCUAAUUUUUAAACCUACCUGGAUUUUGUGAGCAGAUUUUCGAAGGUCCACCGACAUAAAAGUCGGAAACAAAUUGUUCAGGCACCUACAUUGGCAUCAAAUAGGAAUGGAGAGACUAGAUUGCAGGUGGAAGGCCUGCAGGCUUUUCUGUGUGAGAUUCCUUUUCUGUAUGUUCCUUAAGCUUUUGCUCUAGAGAGAGAGUCUACGUUUCAAGCAACAUGCAUAUUUUCAGCGCUUCCACAGAACAUGAUGCUGCAGAAGAAAUUGUCUCACUUCUUGGAGCUUGUGGAGGUCAAUUUGCUCAAAGGAAUUUCAGCUCGGUGGAGGGAAGUCCCUUUUACAGUGGUUAGACAACUACUGGUUUUCUCUUGGGAUCACACCUAGUAACAGGAAUACUCUGAGAACCGAGACAUCUUGUUUCGCAGCUUCUAGCAGCUGGAGAUUGUUGAGGUACUUUAGAUAUUGACGAAUUUGCAUCAAUUCCUGGUGAGUAUUGAAUUCAGUACCUCUUGAUGCACAUAAUGCAAGUAUUCGAUGGUGUGAGGCGGUAGCCGAUAGCCUAUUUUGGCACUCC